This 1451-nucleotide ribosomal RNA is filed under the name metagenome. RNAcentral's name for it is "bacterial SSU rRNA". It matches the Rfam family "Bacterial small subunit ribosomal RNA". The record is from RNAcentral.
AUUCUCUAGUUGGAGUGGCGCAAGGGUGUGUAAUACGUGGGUAAUUUGUCGUGAAGACUGGGAUAACUCGCUGAAAGGCGAGUUAAUACCGGGUAAGAAUAUUGGGGGGUAUCCCUCGAUAUUGGAAGCUGGGGACCUGUAAGGGCCUGGCGCUUCACGAUGAGCCCGCGGCCUAUCAGUUAGUUGGUGAGGUAAUGGCUCACCAAGGCUAAGAUGGGUAGCUGGUCUGAGAGGAUGACCAGCCACACUGGAAUUGAGAUAUGGUCCAGACACCUAUGGGUGGUAGCAGUCGAGAAUUUUUUAUAAUGGGCGUAAGCCUGAUGGAGCGACGCCGCGUGGGGGAUGAAGGGUUUUGAUCCGUAAACCCCUGUCAUUUGCGAACAAACCUUAUGGAAUAAUACUCCAUGAGUUGAUUGUAGCGGAAGAGGAAGGGACGGUUAACUCUGUGUUAGUAGUUGUGGUAAUACAGAGGUCCCAAGCGUUGUUCGGAUUCACUGGGCGUAAAGGGUGCGUAGGUGGCCAGGUAAGUUUGGUGUGAAAGUUCGGAGUUUAACUCCGAAAAGUCAUUGAAUAUUAUCUGGCUGGAGGGUCGGAAGGGAGACUGGAAUUCUCGGUGUAGCAGUGAAAUGCGUAGAUAUCGAGAGGAAUACCAGUGGUGAAGGUGAGUUUCUGGACGACAUCUGAUACUGAGGCACGAAAGCUAGGGGAGUAAACAGGAUUAGAUAUCCUGGUAGUCCUAGCUGUAAAUGGUGCACGUUUGCUGUAAGAGGAAUUGAUUCCUUUUGUGGCGAAGCUAAUGUGCUAAACGUGCCGCCUGGGGAGUACGGUUGCAAGAUUAAAACUCAAAGAAAUUGACGGGGGCCUGCACAAGCGGUGGAGUAUGUGGCUUAAUUCGAUACUAUGUGAAGAAUUUUACCUGGCCUUGAUAUGCACGUAGUAGGAGCGUGAAAGCGCAACGAUCCCGUAAGGGAAGCGUGCACAGGUGCUGUAUGGCUGUCGUCAGCUCGUGUUGUGAGAUGUUGGGUUAAGUCCCGCAACGAGCGUAAUCCUUGUGUUCUGUUGUUAUCCAAACGAGAGUUUGGAGUAUUUUGGACAGACUGUCUCGUUUAAACGAGGAGGAAGGUGGGGAUGACGUCAAGUCAGGAUGGCUCUUAUGGCCAGGGCUGCACACGUACUACAAUGCCUGGUAUAAAGGGAAGCGAUACCGUUAGGUGGAGUAAAUCCCAAAAAACCAGGCUUAGUUCAGAUUGUCGGCUGUAAUUUGCCGACAUGAAGCUGGAAUCGUUAGUAAUGGCGCAUUAGUUAUGGUGCCGUGAAUACGUUUCCAGGUCUUGUACACACCGCCCGUCACAUCAUGAAAGCCGGUUGUACCUGAAGUUGUCGUGUUAACUCGUAAGAGAGACAGACGCCGAAGGUAUGGCUGGUGAUUGGGAUGAAGUUGGAAUAAGGUA